ACUCCUACGGGAGGCAGCAGUGGGGAAUAUUGCACAAUGGGGGAAACCCUGAUGCAGCCAUGCCGCGUGUGUGAAGAAGGCCUUCGGGUUGUAAAGCACUUUCAGUCGUGAGGAAGGUAGUGUAGUUAAUAGCUGCUAUUAUUUGACGUUAGCGAACAAGAAGAAGCGACCGCUAACUCCGUGCCAGCAGCCGCGGUAAUACGGAGGGUGCGAGCGUUAAUCGGAAUUACUGGGCGUAAAGCGCAUGCAGGUGGUUUGUUAAGUCAGAUGUGAAAGCCCGGGGCUCAACCUCGGAAUUGCAUUUGAAACUGGCAGACUAGAGUACUGUAGAGGGGGGUAGAAUUUCAGGUGUAGCGGUGAAAUGCGUAGAGAUCUGAAGGAAUACCGGUGGCGAAGGCGGCCCCCUGGACAGAUACUGACACUCAGAUGCGAAAGCGUGGGGAGCAAAACAGGAUUAGAUACCCUGGUAGGAUAGCGU
This 478-nucleotide ribosomal RNA is filed under the name uncultured bacterium. RNAcentral describes it as "bacterial SSU rRNA". It matches the Rfam family "Bacterial small subunit ribosomal RNA", at positions 335 to 800 of the family's 1533-position model. The record is from RNAcentral.